Molecule: ribosomal RNA, 801 nt
Filed under: uncultured Rubrobacter sp.
Lineage: Bacteria; Bacillati; Actinomycetota; Rubrobacteria; Rubrobacterales; Rubrobacteraceae
Description: bacterial SSU rRNA
Rfam family: Bacterial small subunit ribosomal RNA
Source: RNAcentral
AGAGUUUGAUCAUGGCUCAGGACGAACGCUGACGGUGUGCUUUAGGCAUGCAAGUCGAACGAGAAAGCCCUUCGGGGUGAGUAAAGUGGCGAACGGGUGAGUAACACGUGGGCAACCUGCCCCUCGCAGGGGGACAACCGGAGGAAACUCCGGCUAAUACCCCGUACGCUUGUUGGAUCGCAUGGUCCGGCAAGGAAAGGUAGCUUCGGCCAUCCGGCGAGGGAUGGGCCCGCGUUGCAUUAGCUAGUUGGUGGGGUAACGGCCUACCAAGGCGACGAUGCGUAGCUGGUCUGAGAGGAUGAUCAGCCACACUGGGACUGAGACACGGCCCAGACUCCUACGGGAGGCAGCAGCCAGGAAUCUUGGGCAAUGGGCGAAAGCCUGACCCAGCAACACCGUGUGGGCGAUGAAGGCUUUAGGGUCGUAAAGCCCUGUUGAUAGGGACGAAGGGCGAAGGGUUAAUAGCCCCUAGCUUGACGGUACCUUUCGAGGAAGCCCCGGCUAACUACGUGCCAGCAGCCGCGGUAAUACGUAGGGGGCGAGCGUUGUCCGGAAUUAUUGGGCGUAAAGAGCGUGUAGGCGGUUCGGUAAGUCUGCUGUGAAAUCCUGGGGCUCAACCCUGGGCGUGCAGCGGAUACUGCCGGGCUAGAGGGUGGUAGAGGCGAGUGGAAUUCCGAGUGUAGCGGUGAAAUGCGCAGAUAUUCGGAGGAACACCAGUAGCGAAGGCGGCUCGCUGGGCCACACCUGACGCUGAGACGCGAAAGCGUGGGGAGCGAACAGGAUUAGAUACCCCAGUAGUCC